RNAcentral lists this ribosomal RNA (404 nucleotides) under uncultured bacterium. Its description in RNAcentral is "bacterial SSU rRNA". It matches the Rfam family "Bacterial small subunit ribosomal RNA", at positions 355 to 776 of the family's 1533-position model. The record is from RNAcentral.
UGGGGAAUAUUGCACAAUGGGGGAAACCCUGAUGCAGCGACGCCGCGUGAGUGAAGAAGUAUUUCGGUACGUAAAGCUCUAUCAGCAGGGAAGAAAAUGACGGUACCUGACUAAGAAGCCCCGGCUAACUACGUGCCAGCAGCCGCGGUAAUACGUAGGGGGCAAGCGUUAUCCGGAUUUACUGGGUGUAAAGGGAGCGUAGACGGCAGCGCAAGUCUGAAGUGAAAUCCCGGGGCUCAACCCUGGAACUGCUUUGGAAACUGUGCAGCUGGAGUGCAGGAGGGGUAAGCGGAAUUCCUAGUGUAGCGGUGAAAUGCGUAGAUAUUAGGAGGAACACCAGUGGCGAAGGCGGCUUACUGGACUGUAACUGACGUUGAGGCUCGAAAGCGUGGGGAGCAAACAGG